This is a long non-coding RNA of Sitophilus oryzae (rice weevil), 371 nucleotides long. RefSeq lists it as uncharacterized. The transcript is spliced from 3 exons. NCBI's taxonomy places the organism in Eukaryota, Metazoa, Arthropoda, Insecta, Coleoptera, Curculionidae. The record is from RefSeq and is a predicted model, not a curated record.
GCGACAUUUUCAGUUAACAGAAAUUCCAAAAUUCGUUGUAGUUCUUAAAAUUUUACUGAUUUUUUGAUAGAAAAAGUUAUUUUUCUGUGCACUAUUUGAGUUUAUUCUGUUCCUUAAGGCCAUUUUAAUCUUCUGAAAAUGAGUGUUAUUACAAUGAUAAUACAGUUCCAGCACCUAAAGAACACCUAAGAGAAGAGACUUUUGAUCACCCUUUAUAUGUAUAAUUCUGUUUGGCCAUUAUUCUGGUUCACAAGAUUGGAUAAUUUCUAUUAUCUGAUUAAAAAUUUUAUACAAUUCAAUACAGUUACAGGGCAGUGCAUUUAUCCUUUUUGUGAAUAUUACGAACGAUGCAUCAGGACUUAUAAGUAUAA